Molecule: non-coding RNA, 2824 nt
Organism: Rhopilema esculentum
Lineage: Eukaryota; Metazoa; Cnidaria; Scyphozoa; Rhizostomeae; Rhizostomatidae
Source: RefSeq, a predicted model, not a curated record
UGUCAGUCCACUAGCCAUUGUCAAAGCAUUGAAUACUUUGGGCUUGCCAGUUAUCAGCACAACAACACAAUGAUAUUAGAACCACGCAGUUUGUUUCAUUGUUUUUCUUGAAAUAUAAGCGUUGCCUGCCUUAUCAUCAGGCGCCGUAGGCCUAGUUCGUGCAUGUCAUAUCCUCGUUGACAUUGGCCUAAAUAUAUGUGUUAGCAAACAUAGUCCACAACAGGAAGAAUCUGCUCCACUACCAACUUUUAUUUUGCUGCAUCAAUUCUUUAAAACCACGAAACUGUUACUUUUCCUUAUUUCUCUGCUGCUAUAUUUCUUGCAGGGUAACAUUUCACGAAAUCCCUUUCCUCAUGAACUAGCAGCAUAUUUCCUCUUCAGUCUCACUUUUUGAACACGAACAGGGAAACGAUGCGAUCAAGGUCAUGGUCAUGCCAUUCCAAAAGUGCAUGACUAAAACAUAAUAAUCAUCAUGUUUUCAUGGCUCUUCCUAUAGACCAAUUCGACUUACGGCCUCAUUUUGAAAAAUUCUUCAAAUUAUUUUGUACAAAAUGUUUGACCUCAGAUUCGGAAUGCGAGCAAUGAUUUUAGUAUACUUGGAAGAUUUCAUUAUGAUAUUGCUCGCGAUAUUGAUUUUAUGACGACAAAAAGAUAAAAAGUUAUAAGGGAUUUGACCGUGAUUUGCGACUAGGGGGGUAAAGUUUUGUUGUAUAGCUAACAUUACGUCAUUGGACGACAAGAUUACGAGAGAUUGCACCACGACAUGCAACUCAAAGCAAGUUACGUCAUUGUAUAUUUUGGCCAUCAGGGAUUGCACCACGAAGUGCAACUCGAAGAAAAACCUUAUGAUUGGACAAAUAGUAACAAAAACCAUUUUCGUAUAACUAGGUUAGGAGAAAUUUUCAAAACGACGCCGUAAGUCGAAUUGGUGUAUUGUUUCGCAUGGUUUUGCAUGACCAAACAUAGGGUUUUAGUCAUGCACAUUUGAAAGUGCAUGACUAAAUUGGAAUCCCUGUGAUAAUUGCAUGACUAAAUUGGAAACCCUAGAGCUUUAUAGAGUUUCAAAUGUAGAAAUCCUUUGUUUGCGCCCACGGAGUUACAUAUAAGUACGCAAAGAACCGGUGAGAAAAGAGUUGAUUGGCUAGCUCCGUUCGUGACAAUUCUAAUUUACGAACCCACCGGUGCUUGGAAUAGCAUGGAACAAUUGGAUUGCAUUGGAAGAUGAUAUUGUCAUCCGCAGUCUAAUUGGUCAGCACUUUCAUUCUACCAGAAUUUCGUUCCGGUGAAUAUGCCACGAUUGUAAACAUUAACGCAACAAAAGAAAAUUCUUUGGAUAAAAGGAUAUUUUUCAUGCAAAAUAGAUGAAAACAUCGAAUCAGUAGAAAUCUUUAGCUUUUUUCGGAAACACGCAAAGGAACAGGUACAAGGAACAGGUGCUCAAGCACCCUUUGCACCCCCUGGAUGCCACUCUUGGUGACAAUAAUAUCCCCUUUAUCUGCCAACAUGACAAUGCUUCUCCACAUGCUGCAAGAUACACCAUGAUUUUUCUCCAACUCUGUGAGAUCCAGCGACUCAGAUGGCCAUCCCAAAGUCCAGAUCUGAAUCCCUUUGAAAACGUGUGGGGUUUUAUAAAACGCAAAUUGAAGGAUAAUUCUCCUAGAAAUACGGCUGAACUCAUCAAAAAAAUAUUUGAAAUAUGGGAAAAUCAGUACAUCAAACGCUUGUACCAAUCAAUUCUAUCCAGACGUGCUGCUGUGAAGAAAUGCCGUGGCUAUAUGACCAAGUACUGAAAGAUAUUUCUGCUUAUAUGCACGUUUAAGAACUGUUGAAAUGUUAUGAUUGUUUUACAAUCGAUCGGUGGCAUCUACAUGCAAAUAUUUUUCCCAACUGAGAGGAAACACGUUGUAUUUCUCUUUUUUCGAAAAUAUUUGUUUCUCAAGAACGAAUUUGUAAAAAAUUACACUGUUUCAUUGGUCAAUUUAAACUUGACUUCUUACCACCUGACUUUCCUGCGCUUUGUGAUUUGACAUCAGUUGAUUUGCGUUACGUUGUGGGGAAUUUCAAUUUUUUGAACGCUGCGUAGUAGCUUUAUGUUUUUGGUUCUGUUGCUAGUGAUUGAUGUUUGAUGAGAGAGACGGGAAGAACAAACGCUGAGACGUGACUUAAUAAAAAAAGUCCACUGGAAAUGCUUAUCAUGUACCAGAAAUAGCACUGGAUUUGCCUGCAGUUGAUGCCAGAGAACUUGGUGAAGAGGAAUCUGAGAUUGGUGGUUCUACUGAACAUGAAGAUAGUGGAAAUUAAGAGGCACAUUUGAAAGGGUAUUGUGGAGGCAACCCCUAAAAGCCUAUUCCAGCUCACAAUGUUGCAGAAACUGGGCCAGUUAUUGUCUGGGGAAAAGGACAAGAGCCGAACAAAUCUCUGGACUUUUCUCUUCUGUUCUUUCCUUUCCAGCUAAUGCAAACUAUUGUGAAUAAUUCAAACUUGUAUGCUGUUCAUGGUGAAGGGAUUGGCAAAAGACAUGCGUCACUUUGCAUGCAAGUGACAACACAAAAAGACCCACAAGGUCCAUGUUUGCCUGUGUUGAGUGUGGCAUUCCUCUGUGUAUUGAUGAAAGGGAUUGCUUCCUUUUCUUUCAUUCUGCAGAAUUCAGCAAAUACAAGGAACAAUACUUGGAGCAUUGUCGUCAUAGUUGACUUUUUAUUUCCUGACACUUAUUUUAUAUCUUUAAUUGAUAUUUGCUAUAACAGGGGUUUAUGACUAACUGUGAACUGUUAUCAUUAACAUGUGGUUAACAUUUUUAACAGAAGAAACUUUGUGCUUUUUA